GGGGAAUUUUGGACAAUGGGGGCAACCCUGAUCCAGCCAUCCCGCGUGUGCGAUGAAGGCCUUCGGGUUGUAAAGCACUUUUGGCAGGGAAGAAACAGCCUGGGCUAAUAUCCCGGGCGACUGACGGUACCUGCAGAAUAAGCACCGGCUAACUACGUGCCAGCAGCCGCGGUAAUACGUAGGGUGCAAGCGUUAAUCGGAAUUACUGGGCGUAAAGCGUGCGCAGGCGGUUCGGAAAGAAAGGUGUGAAAUCCCAGGGCUUAACCUUGGAACUGCACUUUUAACUACCGGGCUAGAGUACGUCAGAGGGGGGUAGAAUUCCACGUGUAGCAGUGAAAUGCGUAGAGAUGUGGAGGAAUACCGAUGGCGAAGGCAGCCACCUGGGAUGAUACUGACGCUCAUGCACGAAA
This 410-nucleotide ribosomal RNA is filed under the name uncultured bacterium. RNAcentral's name for it is "bacterial SSU rRNA". It matches the Rfam family "Bacterial small subunit ribosomal RNA", at positions 356 to 758 of the family's 1533-position model. The record is from RNAcentral.